RNAcentral lists this unclassified non-coding RNA (593 nucleotides) under Trichuris trichiura (human whipworm). RNAcentral describes it as "sequence contains ITS1". The record is from RNAcentral. Lineage: Eukaryota; Metazoa; Nematoda; Enoplea; Trichinellida; Trichuridae.
AAGCGGCCGUAGCUGCCGUGCGUUGUAGGCGCUGCUCCGCUGGCCUGCUAGCAGCAGCAGCAGCAGCAGCAGCAGCAGGCGCUGGUGUGGCGUUUGCUCCGUCCGAUGCGAGCAACGUCCGCCGGCUUACAGUUCCAGGUCUGAAGAGCGCAGGCGGCGGCUCGUUCCGCCCGGCGGGAAGCGAGUCGAUCGUCGCCGUCACCGGCUCGAUCGGGCAGCAGCAGCGGUUUUCACUUGCUGCUCGCCGCCUGCGCGCAGUCACCGGUACCUGUUCCGUUGUGGCCUCCGUGGCUGCGGCAGUUUGGAUCUGGCUGUCGUUAGCGCCGCCGGUUGCAGUCGACCGUGCCGCCGCGCCAGUAGUCGCAGUGGCGCUGAAGAAGCGGCGGCUAGCGUCGACGAGGUUCAAAGAACAGCCGUUCGACCUCGAGCAUCGAGGACGGCUCGUCGCCGGUUGGAAAAAGAAAAAGCAGCUUCACCAGUGCACAAGGCGUCGUUCUACUACGCAUGCCGACGUGCCUUCGACACGCAGACACUGCUGUCGGCGCAAUGAGCGCUAGUAGCAUUCGAACUGCUGCUGUACGCGCAGGAAAGUA